AGGUGCGAUCAUACCAGCACUAAUGCACCGGAUCCCAUCAGAACUCCGCACUGAAGCGUGCUUGGGAGAGAAUAGUACUAGGAUGGGUGACCUCCUGGAAAGUCCUCGUGUUGCACGUC
This 119-nucleotide ribosomal RNA is filed under the name Lupinus angustifolius (narrow-leaved blue lupine). Lineage: Eukaryota; Viridiplantae; Streptophyta; Magnoliopsida; Fabales; Fabaceae. The record is from RNAcentral.